UUUUACAUAUAUCAAUGGGAGAAGACAAUGAGUCCUCAUGAAACAAGUUUGUGUGUUGCAUUCUGCUACUACAUACUACAUAGGGAAAAAUAAUGUUCUUGAGGGCUAGAGCAUAGGAAGAUUAUUUUUUAAGCAUUGAUCUGAAACAUUUCAUAUGGACCAAACAUAAAUCAGAUCUACAGAACACCACAGUUAAACAAGAGGCUAAAAAUAUAAGGCUGUACAGAAGUCUCUGUGGGCAUCCAGCAAGUACUCAAUAACAUUUCAUUAAAACUUAUACAUACAUACUAUGUAUGACUAGUGAGUUUUUCCCUGCAGAAGACCAGAUUAAAUAAUCUGUUAAUAACAAACACUACCAUUCCAGUUUAAUUUACAACCAUCUGCCACGCCUCUUUUCUUUUUUUUCCCUAUAGUUUAUACAAUUAAUCUUAGUGUAGUAAACAUGACUACGGUCAUGAUAACAGGAACUUGUUGAUGAGAUGUGAUAUCCUCUCUGGAUUAUUUAGAUGAAGAUGAUGAGUGCCAUCCACAUUGUAAUGAUCCACUGUGCUGCCAUUCUUCUUCAUCAUCUCUAGGGUCUUCAUAUACACUUCCUCAUAUAUACCACCAAUGAAACCUUGAUUACCUCUUAUGCUGAGGUUGCAGCAUUUUACAUUCUGAGCUAAGCCAAUAAGAGCAUCAAAUGAGAGACGGCCCCAAACAUGAGUCCUCAACCGUGGAUCACGUGAGAAGUAAUACCUGUGCUCAUCACCAUGAGGCACACGAAUUGCUCCCCUCUCAAGCAGUAUUUUACACGAGUCAAUUGUUGGAGAUUCUCGACUACCUUCAUAAAUCCGUUUCAGUAUUUCCUCAUAAGUGUAACUGGGGGGUUUACUUUCUUGCAUUUUUUCUUCGACAGAUAUGAUCCAGUCAGCAAACUGAUAAGAUUUAACAUCAACAUCUGGUAUCUCAGCCAUCAUUGUCCUGGCACAAUCAAGACUAACAUAUUUGUCUACUUCUUCAGGGGAAGAUUCACAUAUUUGAAGUUUCUGAGGACAAUGCUGACAUUUCAGGAGAUGAGAGAAGUCUAGAUAGCAGCCAUUGCUGUACAUACGUGUUUCAUGCAGCAAUGCAGCUGUGAAGUAUGAUGGAAACAAAAGAGGGUGUGUCAGCUGCAGGUUCUAUGCAGCCAGUGAGAGAGCAGUGAACAGAUGGCAGGUUUCAAAGCAAGAGACAAAGGAAUAUUGUCACAUCUUCACAUUAAUAGAGACAUGAAACAUGCUAUGUAGUCAGAAAAAAAGCAGCUGUAUUCUCAGGGUCCAUCGGAACCACAACCACAGAAACUGCAACAAAUUCGGAAGAAACAACCAAAUAUUUUUGACAACCUAGACUAUAAAUUUCAUUGCUGCUUUUACACAGAAAUACUUUGUCUCUUCUUUCACCGGCUUAGGUGAAACUAUCAUACCAGAUAAUGAUACCAGUGGUGAUGGUGAUAGUGGUGAUGGUGAUGAAAAAUAGUGGUACCGCAUGCAGACGGCUUAGACAGCAUGCAAAAAUGGAAGUGAAGUGGUGUCAGGAUUAAAUUUGGACAAUUCUUCUGGGUUUUCCAUUCUAAAGGAACUACUCAGUAUAGUGGCACCCACCGAGUCAAGAGGACCCGCAUCAGAGCAGCAGCAGCACUUGUGUGAUAAACUGUAAAUUAAUUUAGUCAUUGUUUUUUGUUCAUGUGCUUCUGCAAAAAAGUGAACUGUACAUGUGUAUUUUACUGUGAUUAGAAAACUAACUGUAGUGUUCGUUUUUGCGUGAGUCUUGUGAAUAUCAUCGUAUAGGGCAACUUCCUAGUGUAAAUUUUCUGUGUGUAGAGAAAUUUAUUUCUGUUUAAUAGCUUGCGCUCUGAGUUCAGUGAGAAAGCUGCACACAAACUUUUAGUGUUUCUUUAUUCUCCUUUGGUAUAUUUUCAAACUCAGUAACACCUUUUGAGACUUUAUAUCUAUUUUAUACACAGUAUUAUAUGGCUAGGGAUUCUGCUUAUGUGAGCGGACACAAGGAGAGUUGCCUGCUGUCCAUAAACAGCUGGAAGCUGCAUUGUCUACUGUCCACAUGCUUCUAGCUAAUACUCAAAGUUGCAGUGAUGUCGGGGAGCCAUGGGCGAGACCUGUGACACCUUUGGUGUCACUGGAAUCCCCUGGUGGCCUGGACAUCACUGUGACUUCCGAUAUGCAAUAUCUGACCGGUGCAUCCUCACUCCAGAGUGGGUGGCAGACAGUGGUCAGUCCGCAUGUCACUAGGCGGAAGGCGAAAGAGGGAGCAGGCCGUACGGAUGGAUCCUUAUGUCUUUGCAACAGGUAUGAGGUGCUUCCCAGUGUUGAUAACUUUGAGCCAGCACGGGAUGCUUCUCCUGUUGGGCCAGUGAUCGAUUUUCCUUCCCAGACCAGACAAGUACAGAGGGUGGGUAUGCUAGUCAUCGGAAGCUCCAAUGUUAGGCAAGUGAUGGAGCCCCUCAGGGAGAUAGCAGGCAAGGUGAAGAAG
Molecule: long non-coding RNA, 2508 nt
Organism: Schistocerca piceifrons (Central American locust)
Lineage: Eukaryota; Metazoa; Arthropoda; Insecta; Orthoptera; Acrididae
Exons: 4
Source: RefSeq, a predicted model, not a curated record